AAACCCAAAUCUUGAAAACUUCGACCUUUGCUAGUCGCUCCUCCUCCUGACUCUACUUUCCCAUCUGAUCGACAUAGCAUCUCGAACAAGUGAAGUGGCUAUUGAAAUUAUUGUUUUCUCCCACAUUUUCUAUCUCUGUUUAUCGGUCUUGAUGCCAUGGUCUUUCUGUUGAAUCUUGAAUUUUUUAGCGGGAGACAAUGUGUUAAAUCUUUGAUUUAUUUUGGUUUGUCUACUACAUGGCAAGUCAGGAAUGGGCAAUGGAACAACAAAGGGGAAAAUAUGAAUCUUUCUACAUGACAAUACUUUAUGUGGGCUUUUGUAAAAAUUUCAAGUUCACACAAGUCCCUUGAUGAUGUAGAUUUAGAGGCUGCUAGUUUUAACCACAGUGUCAAUGAUUUGUUAUAUUAUCUCUUCCAAUUGCUAGACUCUUUUGAAGACAAAUUUACUUGGAUUGUUGUUAUUAGAUUUUGUAGGAAACACAUAAAUGCAUUUGUUAGUUCCACCUAAACCACAGUGUGUUAUG
RNAcentral lists this long non-coding RNA (523 nucleotides) under Olea europaea (common olive). RNAcentral describes it as "long non-coding RNA (OEUR_LNC001787)". Lineage: Eukaryota; Viridiplantae; Streptophyta; Magnoliopsida; Lamiales; Oleaceae. The record is from RNAcentral.